CUACGGGUGGCACCAGUGAGGAAUAUUGCACAAUGGGGGAAACCCUGAUGCAGCAACGCCGCGUGGAGGAUGACGCAUUUCGGUGUGUAAACUCCUUUUAUGAGUCAAGAAAAUGACGGUAGCUCAUGAAUAAGCACCGGCUAACUCCGUGCCAGCAGCCGCGGUAAUACGGAGGGUGCAAGCGUUACUCGGAAUCACUGGGCGUAAAGGACGCGUAGGCGGGAUGUCAAGUCAGGUGUGAAAUCCUAUGGCUCAACCAUAGAACUGCACUUGAAACUGGCAACCUAGAGUAUGGGAGGGGGAGAUGGAAUUAGUGGUGUAGGGGUAAAAUCCGUAGAUAUCACUAGGAAUACCGAAAGCGAAGGCGAUCUCCUGGAACAUUACUGACGCUAAGGCGUGAAAGCGUGGGGAGCAAACAGGAUUAGAUACCCGGGUAGUC
RNAcentral lists this ribosomal RNA (439 nucleotides) under uncultured bacterium. Its description in RNAcentral is "partial 16S ribosomal RNA". It matches the Rfam family "Bacterial small subunit ribosomal RNA", at positions 339 to 795 of the family's 1533-position model. The record is from RNAcentral.